This is a long non-coding RNA of Ctenopharyngodon idella (grass carp), 5525 nucleotides long. RefSeq lists it as uncharacterized. Lineage: Eukaryota; Metazoa; Chordata; Actinopteri; Cypriniformes; Xenocyprididae. The transcript is spliced from 2 exons. The record is from RefSeq and is a predicted model, not a curated record.
CACUAGAUAUUGUUGAAAAGUCGUUAUUUUGUUUUUUUGCCGCACAAAAAGUAUUCUCGUCGCUUUAUAAAAUUAAGGUAGAACCACUGUACUCACAUGAAAUGUUUUAAAUACACUAUAUUGCCAAAAGUAUUGGGACACCCCUCCAAAUCAUUGAAUUCAGGUGUUCCAAUCACUUCCAUGGGCACAGGUGUAUAAAAUCAAGCACCUAGGCAUGCAGACUGUUUCUACAAACGUGUGAUAGAAUGGAUCGCUUUCAGGGGCUCAGUGAAUUCAAGCGUGGUACCGUGAUAGGUUGCCACCUGUGCAAUAAGUCCAUUCCUGAAAUUUCCUCACUACUAAAUAUUCCACGGUCAACUGUUACUGGUAUCAUAACAAAGUGGAAGCAAUUGGGAACAACAGAAACUCAGCCACGAAGUGGUAGGCCACGUAAAAUCACAGAGCGGGGUCAGCGCAUGCUGAGACGCACAGUGCACAGAAGUCGCCAACUUUCUGCAGAGUCAAUAGCUACAGACCUCCAAACUUCGUGUGGCCUUCAGAUUAGCUCAAGAACAGUGCAUAGAGAGCUUCAUGGAAUGGGUUUCCGUGGCCGAGCAUCUGUAUCCAAGCCUUGCAUCACCAAGUGCAAUGCAAAGCGUCGGAUGCAGUGGUGUAAAGCACGCCGCCACUGGACUCUAGAGCAGUGGAGACAUGUUCUCUGGAGUGAAGAAUCACGCUUCUCUGUCUGGAAAUCUGAUGGACAAGUCUGGGUUUGGCGGUUGCCAGGAGAACAGUACUUGCCUGAUUGCAUUGUGCCAAGUGUAAAGUUUGGUGGAGGGGGGAUUAUGGUGUGGGGUUGUUUUUCAGGGGUUGGGCUUGGCCCCUUAGUUCCAGUGGAAGGAACUCUUAAUGCUUCAGCCUACCAAAACAUUUUGGACAAUUUCAUGCUCCCAACUUUGUGGGAAGAGUUUGGGGAUGGCCCUGUUCCAACAUGACUGCGCACCAGUGCACAAAGCAAGGUCCAUAAAGACAUGGAUGAGUGAGUUUGGUGUGGAGGAACUUGACUGGCCUGCACAGAGUCCUGACCUCAACCCGAUAGAACACCUUUGGGAUGAAUUAGAGCGGAGACUGCGAGCCAGGCCUUCUCGCCAACAUCACUGCCUGACCUCACAAACGCACUUCUAGAAGAAUGGUCAAAAAUUCCCAUAAACACACUCCUUAACCUUGUGGAAAGCCUUCCCAGAAGAGUUGAAGAUGUUAUAGCUGCAAAGGGUGGGCCAACUCCAUAUUAAACCCUAAGGAUUAAGAAUGGGAUGUCAUUAAAGUUCAUGUGCACGUAAAGGCAGGCGUCUCAAAACUUUUGGCAAUAUAGUGUAUGUCUUUAGUACCUUUCUGGAUCUUGAGAGAUUCAGUGACAUUGCUGGCAAUGGAGGCCUUAAUGAGCCAUCGGAUUUCAUCAAAAAUAUCUUAGUUUGUGUUCCAAAGAUGAACGAAGGUCUUACGUGUGUAGAACAACAUGAGGGUAAGUAAAAAAAAUGUCAUUUUCAUUUUUGGGUGAACUAACCCUUUAAAAGGUAUUUCGUUUCUCUGAGAAAUUUUGCAUCCGCUCGAAAUAUUAUGUUCCUCCAAAUAACGUUGUUCCUUUGCAAAAAUUUUUCAUUUGCUUUCAAAACUAUUGCGUUCAUCCACGAAACUGCGCUCAAUCACAAAUUUUGUAUACCUCCAAGAAACUUUGCAUUCGCUUGCAAAAUGUUUGCGUUCCUCCAAGAAACUGUUUGCUUGCUAAAGUGUUUAGUUUAGAAACUUUGUGCUCAUUCACAAGUUUUGUGUUCCUCUGAGAAAUUUUGUUUACUCACAAUAUAUUGCAUUCCUCCAAAAAACAUUGUUUGCUCACAAAAGUAUUGCGUUCCUCUGAAAAACAUUACGUUCACUUGCAAAAUGUUCGCGUUUCUCCAAGAAACUGCUCACUCACAAACGUAUUACGUUUCUCAGAAAAACUUUAUGCUCAUUCACAAAAGUUUUUCAUUCCACCGAGAAACUUUGUGUUUACGAGCUAAAGUUUUGCUCCCCCCAAAAACUGUUUUUGCUUGCAAAAGUAUUGCUUUCCUCUGAGAAACAUUGCAUUUGCUUGCAAAUUUUUUGUUUCCCCAAAAGUUUUGCGAGUGAAUGCAAAAGCAUAGAAAUGUAAUUUUUCCUCCCAAUCAUUGUGUCCCUUAAUUGGCUCCAUAACAUAGUCAACUACUACAGUAUAAGAGCCAUAUAGAUUAUCAUAUAGAUUAAAAUUUAAAUUUCAUGAAACAGUUCAAUUUGAAAGGAUUAGUACUGAAAUCAUUUUUGCUCCUAAUAUUAAACAUUCUAAAAUUUCAAUCCCAUCACUGUAAAUUUGUGCCUGGAAAAAAAAAAAAAAAAUUACCCAUGGCAUUCUUUCCAAACAUGUUUAUGCCAGGUCUGUUGCAUAAAACAGUGCAAAGAAGACAGCACUGAGCAAAUGUCACUACAUCACACCACAUUAUUUAUAGAAUACUUGUGCUUUGAGCCAAGAAUAUUUCCAGCAAAAAAAUAACUUAUGGGACUACUAAGCUUGAAGAAGCACAUAUGAGUUAAUGAAAUACUGUAAGACUAAUAUUUAUGUUGUCAUUCACAAGUAUAGCACACAAAUGGCACUGUCCUCUCAUGUUGAUUCUGCUCUUAUGCAACACAUAUUACAUGUGUCUACAUGCUGUAAUACAUAAAACUAAUUGCCACAAUAGCAGAUGGUUAAUUUUACAAAUUUACAGUCUGGAAUGAGACAUAGAUGUAUUCAAAUAACAGUUAUAAUUUUCCUCUCAAUUAUAUUUACAUAACGUUUUUCACAGUACACAUUGUGUCAAAGCAGCUUUAAAGAAUACAAGCUGAGACAACGAGGACAUCGCAAAUGCUGCAAAGUAUGUCUGAGAUUAUGUUUCCAUAUACAGACUAUGUGUGCUCAAAGUAAAAUAUGUCAGUGAGUUUUCAAUUGACAGUUGAGAUUAAUAAAUACAACUUUCACAGUACACUUACCAAACACCAAGUGGUUACAGAAAAAAUGGGUCAACUACAUUUAGUAGUCUUAGAUUCAAGAGCAAAUCUGGGACACUAAAACAGACCAAACACUGCAGUAUGCAGCAAGACACCUUUAGCAUGAAAAAAACAAACAAAAAACAACCUUCUGAAAGUGAUUCCAACAAUAUAGUUUCACUGUGCCAUUACCGUUAUAGUUGUGGUGUGGACUCUGCUGUAUCAUUAUAGUUAUCAGUAUACAGUAGUUACCGUCCUUGGAGUGAACGGGCCUUAAUUGAUUCAAGUGGUGGAUUUUUUGCGAAAAAUGCUUGAUUUUGUAGUGGCUUUAUUUAAAUUUUGUUAUAGAAAUUACAGGUGGCUUUUUAGUGUUUUUUUUUUUUUUUCCUGGAAAGCUAAUUGACUUGGCAAGCACAGAAAUUUUCUUUUAAACUACUCCCUGUGAAAACAUUAUCUAAACACUUUCUACGUUCAAAAGGUAUACGACAGACAACAUUUUGUACACAUUUUUAUUACUUUUCUGACAUUAAGAACCAUUGGUCUCUAAUUUAUAAAGAUAAUAAAUAACAAUUUACAACAAUAAAAUGUCAACAUUUCAUUUAAAAUUUAACACAAAAAUAAAAAUCAUUAAAAAUUCAUUAACAGUUUUCAUUUUAAUGUGUCCAUCAUUUAAUUUACCUAGUUGUAUGUUAAUCUGUCUUUAGCAGUUAUUAAAUCAAUUUUACAGCAUGCAAACAACGCAAACAAUGCAUCAUAUUAACAGGAUUCUAACAAUGAAUGCUUCAUUAUGACAAAAUGCACCCAAUGCAUCAACUUAUGCAAACACUUCAUGUAAAACAUGAAACAUAUCGUUUUGUACAGUUUUUUUGCCAUGAUGUUUCUUGGUAGAUGAGACCUUUUAGCUAUACUCAUAAUUGACGCACUUAUUUUGAAGUGGGCUUUGGCUGAAUGUGUGAUGUCACACGACACGUCUUGGGCCAAAUUCUGUGGAAAAUAUGUGGCAAUUUCAAAAAAUUGCUAGCUUCUGCAAAUAUUGUGGAAAUUUAGCUUGAUUUUGCAUUAUAUUUUGCAAUCACAAAAUCCUGGAGGGACUGAAAUGGCAUGAGCAAAAUGUUUAAAGGUGGGGUAUGUAGUUUUUCAAAAACACUGUUUGGAAGUUAGUUGGGCCGACACCAACAACAAACGUGUAACCAAUCAGCAUUAGGGGGCGUAUGACGGUCGAGGAGAGAGAACGAGCAUGACAAAGACUACAGAAAGAGAGAUGAGACAAUACAAAAGAGCUCAAAAGAAUAUCACUGGAAUGAAGGUUUAUGACUGGGUUUAUGAAGCGCUUUAGGACACACGUUAAUAUUAGAAAAGCUUUCCAGCGCUGGAGAGAGCUACACGAGAAGGCCUGAAAACAGACGCGGAGGCUGCUUUGAGGCUACUUCACAUGAACUAAAUUGGCGUUUAAGAAGCAUUUCACCAUUGUUGUGCCCAGCCUCUGCUGAAAGACACUUGAGAAAGUCAGUUGUGGGCUGUUAAGUUAAGUAUUAAGUAUGAUCUGAGAUCUAUCAUCAGCAGCGUGUCCACUGCACAUUCUUGUGGCUGACACAGGUGUGGUGCUGCAGACCAUUUCAUGGGGGGUGAAUAUAAUGAGGAACUUAUCGCUGGAGCGCAUGUGAAGACAUGCUACGUGUUAAACCAUUGGAAUAAAGGCUUCAUUGAGCACACAGGAAUGCAGGCUGAAGAUGUGGAUGUGGUUCAAAUUCCUGAGCCGCCACCACAUGCUGCAAUGCUGUCAUCAAAGAGAAAACAUGCUAGAAGAAGGAACACUAGAAAAGGAGACUCUGAGACAAAAAUCCCGAAAGGUUUUUGAAUACCCAAGUAUGCAUGUCAUUUCCUGCUCAACCAAUAAAAUAAGAGGAAAUAAUUACAGGACUAAUAAUUACCUACUCGGGCCUAUUCUUUCAGGAUACUAUUCUGGUGUUUAAGUUUUUGAUACAUCAAGUUAUUCUUGUUUGCUCAACCUAGGAGUGUAAAGGGAAAAUGGUAACACUUUAGUUUAAAUACAUUAGUUAACAUGAACUAACAAAAAAAAAAAAAAAACUUCUAAAGCAUUUGUUAUUCUUGAAGUUAAUUGAAGCAUUUACUAAUACAUGACUAAAAUCAAAAAUUGUAUUUGUUAAUAUUAUUUAAUGGACAUGAGCUAACAUGAACUAACAGUUGUAUUUUUUAACUAACUAAUAAUUUAUUAAUAAUUAGUUAAAGAUGAACAAAUGCAUUACUCCUUGUUAGUUAAUGCAUUAACUAAUGUUAACUAAAUGGAACCUUGUUGUAAAGUGUUACUAGAAAUUAAUUUUUUAAAGUAUUUUAAUGACUGACACUUUUUACAUGUCCAAAAAGUGAUAUGCAGUACAAAUUAAUUUAUUUCUGCUUUGUGAUACUAAUAAAUAAUUAUUACACUGCAAAAAUAAAAACACAUGGAUUAUGAAAGAUGACUUGUUUUGAAAAAUAAAGGGUUGCAUAUA